Molecule: ribosomal RNA, 1956 nt
Filed under: Triticum aestivum (bread wheat)
Lineage: Eukaryota; Viridiplantae; Streptophyta; Magnoliopsida; Poales; Poaceae
Description: partial small subunit ribosomal RNA
Source: RNAcentral
UAUCUUUACCUAAUAAUAAAGCAAAUUGGGUUUCUGGUCGUCCGUCGUCGCUCGCGAUUUUGCAUAAAAGUCCCUCGGUUUAUAAGAAAUUAACCCGCAGUCCCUGUUUUAGUGAGUCUCUAUAUGACGUUUUAAUUUUGCAAAAAAAACCCUGUACUCAUUUGAAUUCCACCCGCUGUCCUCCCGUCGUCUUAUCCAUUUCUCCUGCGACAGCAACGGCGGUUUCGCCCAUUCCGUCGUGCGCCGUCGACGGCCACCGCCGUGCCUCGCGCGGGAGGAUGGAGGGCGCUCGCCAGGAGGUUGGAGGACGUUCACCGGGGCGAGUGCUGCGGAGACGGCGCGGCGAGGCGGGGCAGUGGCGGUUGUUGACCGGCCGUCGUGCGUCGCGGGGGAGGAUGGAGGAUGCUCGCCGUGGCGUGCGUGGCGGGAGAGACGGGGUACGGCAGCCGCCGCCGCGACAUGCGGAUGGUCUUCCUGUCCGGCCAUCCGCGCAGCCCACGCAGGCGAGCUGCCGAUCUGGCUGGGCUGCCUGGCCACGCAGCGGACGGCGGCGGUUCGAGCAACUCCUCGACGCAGGGGAAAAGGUUGGUGGUGCUGGAGUUGGUCGGAAUGGGCAGGCGAACGGUGGGUGACGCGAGGCCGCGGCGCCGGCGCGAGGAAUACGGGCGGAUCCGGGGGCGGCAGCGACCGAUCUGGCUGCUGGUGCGGCGGCUUGCUCCUGCUCAUCCAUAGAGAGACAGGGCGUGAGGGAGAUAGGAAGAAAGGAGAAGGAGCAGGGGGCGCAGGGUCAGGGAGGCGGUCGCUAGCGGUGGCGGCUCCGGCGACCGGCCGACGGGCUUGCCAGGCAAGGCUGAGGAGUACACUAGCCUGAGAUUCAAUAGAGGUAUGUUUGAUUUUUAGAAUCGGGCUUAACAGCCUGUUUGCUGUGCUUCAUCUUCUGAAUUGGAAACCAUGGCGUGCCUGAAUAUUUUUUCUAGAACAUGAUGCUUGAGUUGGUAAUCAUUCUUGGGUGAUUGGAGUGCAUGACUUGAAUGGAUUUCUGAAUUCCAAAUAGUAUGCUGUCGUGAUGUUUGAUUAGGGUCUUCUGUGAAUUCGUACCAAAACCAUGCUUGUAUUUUGUUGUUCCCUCUCUCUAAUCCGGGACAGACACGGUGAUUCUGGUCGGGGCCGUGGCUACGUGAUUCUGGCCGGCGUGCAUCCAUAGUCAGAGGACGCCGAGCCUUCCUCGCUGACAGCAACAUCAGCUCGUCUCGGCAUGAGAUAAUUUGCUUCAGUUCAUCGAACUACCUGCUGAAACAUGUGUAUUGUUUCUCAAUAUAUUGGGCAUCAAUCCACCUCUCAUGAGAUCUCUGAAUUUUCGACGCAUAUUGUAUUUGCUGAAUUAUUUCCUCCAGAUAACUAUGCUUGAAUUCACAAAUGCGUGCAAUGCUUUCAAGUAGAGGUUAGUUCAAUACUUAAGUUGUGCUAUUCCACUUUCAAGUUUUUGGUCCUAGAAGUGUAAUACUUGGUAGGUUAGCUGCAAAAGCGGAAUGUAUAUGGCCUGAAUUUAUAUUUCAGAGUGUAUAAUCUGAUUCAGAGUAUUUUGACCCCUUGCGUUCUAAAACGUUUUGUUGUAUCUUUCUGUCCUGAAAGAAUAGAAGCAAUUCUUCUAUGUGAGAGAAUAUAAAUGUUAUUCGCAAACAACAUGCAGCGUCAUUAAGUUUCUUAUUACCAAUUUAAACAGUAAUAGCACAACUAAAGUUUGUGAACAUAUCAUUAUAAAAUGGUCGGUUGGAUUGAGUUUGGUAUGGAUUCUACAAGGGCCAUUUCUAUGGAAUUACAAAUUAGCUUUACAUUUUUAUGGAUGGGUUCAUCGUCUUUGGAUUGCCCAUGUUCGGAUGUGUUUGUGAUCAAGUGGACACCACGACCACCAUCAGUAGGGUGGGAAGGAGGGUGUGUGAUAUUUUUUCUUUUCCC